RNAcentral lists this ribosomal RNA (1235 nucleotides) under metagenome. RNAcentral describes it as "bacterial LSU rRNA". It matches the Rfam family "Bacterial large subunit ribosomal RNA", at positions 1564 to 2808 of the family's 2925-position model. The record is from RNAcentral.
UGAAUACGAGAUGCUACGGCGUCGAAGCAGUGUAUGUCAGACUUCCAAGAAAAGCUCGCAAUGUCAUAAAUAAAGAAUGCCUGUACCAUAACCGACACAGGUGGGUAGGUAGAGUAUACUAAGGGGCGCGAGAUAACUCUCUCUAAGGAACUCGGCAAAAUAACUCCGUAACUUCGGGAGAAGGAGUGCCUUCUAUUAGAAGGUUGCAAUAACAAGAUCCAAGCAACUGUUUAUCAAAAACACAGGUCUCCGCUAAGUCGUAAGACGAUGUAUGGGGGCUGACGCCUGCCCAGUGCCAGAAGGUUAAAGAAGUUGGUUAGCUUUGGCGAAGCUGAUGACUGAAGCCCUGGUGAACGGUGGCCGUAACGAUAACGGUCCUAAGGUAGCGAAAUUCCUUGUCGGGUAAGUUCCGACCCGCACGAAAGGCGUAAUGAUUUGGAUACUGUCUCGGAGAGGGACUCGGUGAAAUAGACUUGUCUGUGAAGAUGCGGACUACCUGCACCAGGACAGAAAGACCCUAUGAAGCUUUACUGUAACUUGAAAUUGAAAUUGGACUUUAUUUGCGCAGCAUAGGUGGAAGGCGUUGAGAUUACUCUUGCGGGAGUACUGGAGCCAUCAGUGAGAUACCACUCCUAUAAUGUUAGAUUUCUAACUUUGGAUCAUGAUCUGGUCAAAGAACAGUUUCAGGCGGGCAGUUUGACUGGGGCGGUCGCCUCCCAAAUGGUAACGGAGGCGUACAAAGGUUUCCUCUGAACGGGUAGAAAUCGUAUCUAGAGUGUAAAGGCAUAAGGAAGCUUGACUGUGAGACCUACAAGUCGAGCAGGGACGAAAGUCGGUCUUAGUGAUCUGACGGUGCUGAGUGGAAAGGCCGUCACUCAACGGAUAAAAGUUACUCUAGGAUAACAGGCUGAUCUCCCCCAAGAGUUCACAUCGACGGGGAGGUUUGGCACCUCGAUGUCGGCUCAUCGCAUCCUGGGGCGGUAGUACGUCCCAAGGGUUGGGCUGUUCGCCCAUGAAAGCGGUACGCGAGCUGGGUUCAGAACGUCGUGAGACAGUUCGGUCCAUAUCCGGUGUAGGCGUUAGAAUAUUGAGAGGAGCCUUCUUUAGUACGAGAGGACCGAGAAGGACAUACCUCUGGUGUACCAGUUAUCGUGCCAACGGUAAACGCUGGGUAGCUAUGUAUGGAGAGGAUAACCGCUGAAAGCAUCUAAGUGGGAAGCCCACCUCAAGAUGAG